Pelobates cultripes (western spadefoot toad) is the source of this 989-nucleotide non-coding RNA. NCBI's taxonomy places the organism in Eukaryota, Metazoa, Chordata, Amphibia, Anura, Pelobatidae. The record is from the annotation of a GenBank genome assembly.
UGUUUGUGGAUGUGUGGAUGUCUGUUUGUGGAUGUGUGGAUGUCUGUUUGUGGAUGUCUGUGGAUGUGUGGAUGUCUGUGGAUGUGUGGAUGUCUGUGGAUGUGUGGAUGUCUGUUUGUGGAUGUCUAUUUGUGGAUGUCUGUUUGUGUAUGUGUGGAUGUCUGUGUAUGUGUGGAUGUCUGUGUAUGUGUGGAUGUCUGUUUGUGGAUGUGUGGAUGUCUGUUUGUGGAUGUCUGUGUAUGUGUGGAUGUCUGUGUAUGUGUGGAUGUCUGUUUGUGGAUGUGUGGAUGUCUGUGGAUGUGUGCAGGACUCGAGUCCUGCAGGAACGCGUGGGAACGGCGUUCCUGCACUUUUUUCACAGCAGGAACGCCGUUCCCCCUGCAGGCACUCAGGGGGCGGCAAAAAAUGCCGCCCCCAAAUGCCCCCCCUUGUUUCCCCUGUCAUGGGGGGGCAACCUGAUGGAUUGCCCCCCGGUGAACGGCUCUCUUCCUGUCACACGCGGAGAGGGAGCUGUGUGCUCUCUGCUCCCUCUCGCCGCGCGGGAUGUCUGCUGUUGCUGGGAGCCGGGUUGAUGACGUCAUAUUCCGGCUCCCAGCAUCAGCAGACAUCCCGCGCGGCGAGAGGGAGCAUAGAGCACACAGCUCCCUCUCCACGUGUGACAGGGAGAGAGCCGCCCUCACUGCAGCCCCACUGGACCCCAGGGAAAGGUAGGGAUGCUGGGUGGGUGGGAAAUGUUAAUUUUUUUAUAUUAUUAUUAAUUUGUAUAUAUGUAUGUCUGUUUGUGGAUGUGUGGAUGUGGAUGUCUGUGUGGAUGUCUGUUUGUGGAUGUGUGGAUGUCUGUUUGUGGGUUUGUGGAUGUGUGGAUGUCUGUUUGUGGAUGUGUGGAUGUGGAUGUCUGUGUGGAUGUCUGUUUGUGGAUGUGUGGAUGUCUGUUUGUGGAUGUCUGUAGAUGUGUGGAUGUCUGUUUGUGGAUGUGUGGAUGUCUGUUU